Molecule: ribosomal RNA, 1731 nt
Filed under: Triticum aestivum (bread wheat)
Lineage: Eukaryota; Viridiplantae; Streptophyta; Magnoliopsida; Poales; Poaceae
Description: partial small subunit ribosomal RNA
Source: RNAcentral
AUGUACAAAGCACUUCUAGACAGGAAUCUGAGGAGACUCCUGAGCCUGCCAUUCCUAUGGAAUAUUAUGAAUGAACACAUGAUGGAAAUCCUGAGGAGGAUGACGAGGAAACUCUUGGUAGGGGCAAGAGACAAAGGACUGCAAAGACCUUUGGUGAUGAUUUCUUCGUGUACCUCGUGGAUGAUACUCCUACUUCUAUCUCAGAAGCGUAUGCCUCUCCAGAAGCUGACUACUGGAAGGAGGCGGUCCGUAGCGAGAUGUAUUCCAUCAUGGCUAACGGGACAUGGGAGAUCACUGAGCGUCCCUAUGGUUGCAAACCAUUGGAAUGUAAGUGGGUGUUCAAGAAAAAGUUUAGGCCCGAUGGUACGAUUGAAAAGUACAAGGCUAGGCUUGUGGCCAAGGGCUAAUGACCAGAAAGAAGAGGAAGAUUUCUUCGAUACUUAUUCGCCUGUGGCUAGACUGACCACCAUUCGAGUAUUACUCUCGUUGGCGGCCUCGCACGGUCUUCUCGUCCACCAGAUGGAUGUUAAGACGGCUUUUCUGAAUGGAGAGCUAAAUGAGGAAAUCUACAUGCAACAGCCAGAUGGCUUUGUGAUAGAUGGUCAGGAAAGGAAGGUGUGUAAGUUGCUGAAAUCUUUAUAUGGCCUGAAGCAAGCACUUAAGCAAUGGCAUGAUAAGUUCAAUACAACUCUGACAUCUGUUGGUUUCGUUGUUAAUGAGGCUGAUAAAUGUGUAUACUAUCGCCAUGGUGGGGGCGAAGGAGUUAUACUGUGCUUGUAUGUUGAUGACAUACUGAUAUUUGGAACAAACCUCAAAGUCAUUGAGGAGGUCAAAUCGUUUCUAUCUCAGAACUUUGAGAUGAAAGACCUUGGUGUGGCUGAUGUUAUCUUGAACAUUAAGCUACUGAGAGAUAAUGAGGGUGGGAUCACACUUCUGCAAUCCCAUUAUGUUGAGAAGGUGUUGAGCCGUUUUGGAUAUUCGGACUGCAAACCAUCUCAAACACCAUAUGAUCCUAGUGUGUUGAUCCGAAAGUUCGAAGGCACAGCUAAGGAUCAACUGAGAUACUCUCAAAUCAUUGGUUCACUCAUGUACCUAGCAAGCGCAACGAGGCCUGACAUCGCAUUUGCUGUGAGCAAACUGAGCCGGUUUGUUUCCAAACCGGGUGAUGUACAUUGGCAUGUUGUUGAAAGAGUUAUGCGCUAUCUGAAAGGUACUAUGAACUAUGGACUUCACUAUACCGGAGACCCGUCGGUACUUGAAGGGUAUAGUGAUGCGAAUUGGAUCUCUGAUGCUGAUGAGAUGAAGGCCACAACUGGGUAUAUGUUUACUCUUGGAGGUGGCGCUGUUUCCUGGAAGUCUUGCAAGCAAACGAUCUUAACGAGAUCGACAAUGGAAGCAGAAUUAACAGCAUUAGACACAUCUAGUGUCGAAGCAGGAUGGCUUCGUGAUCUUUUGAUGGACUUGCCAUUGGUUGAUAAACCGGUCCCGGCUAUCCUUAUGAACUGUGACAAUCAGACUGUCAUCACCAAUGUGAAGAGUUCAAAGGACAACAUGAAGUCCAAUAAACACAUAAGAAUGAGAUUAAAAGCUGUCAGAAAAUUAAGAAACUCCGGAGUGAUAGCGUUGGAGUAUGUCCAUACGGCUAAGAAUCUGGCAGAUCCCUUUACAAAAGGGCUAUCGCGUGUUGUGAUAGAUAGUGCAUCGAGGGAGAUGGGUAUGAGACCCACAUGA